RNAcentral lists this ribosomal RNA (1090 nucleotides) under Klebsiella pneumoniae. RNAcentral describes it as "bacterial SSU rRNA". It matches the Rfam family "Bacterial small subunit ribosomal RNA", at positions 26 to 1129 of the family's 1533-position model. Lineage: Bacteria; Pseudomonadati; Pseudomonadota; Gammaproteobacteria; Enterobacterales; Enterobacteriaceae. The record is from RNAcentral.
GGCAAAACUUUCCCAAUGCGGGGAGCUACCAUGCAAGUCGAGCGGUAGCACAGAGAGCUUGCUCUCGGGUGACGAGCGGCGGACGGGUGAGUAAUGUCUGGGAAACUGCCUGAUGGAGGGGGAUAACUACUGGAAACGGUAGCUAAUACCGCAUAAUGUCGCAAGACCAAAGUGGGGGACCUUCGGGCCUCAUGCCAUCAGAUGUGCCCAGAUGGGAUUAGCUAGUAGGUGGGGUAACGGCUCACCUAGGCGACGAUCCCUAGCUGGUCUGAGAGGAUGACCAGCCACACUGGAACUGAGACACGGUCCAGACUCCUACGGGAGGCAGCAGUGGGGAAUAUUGCACAAUGGGCGCAAGCCUGAUGCAGCCAUGCCGCGUGUGUGAAGAAGGCCUUCGGGUUGUAAAGCACUUUCAGCGGGGAGGAAGGCGAUGAGGUUAAUAACCUUGUCGAUUGACGUUACCCGCAGAAGAAGCACCGGCUAACUCCGUGCCAGCAGCCGCGGUAAUACGGAGGGUGCAAGCGUUAAUCGGAAUUACUGGGCGUAAAGCGCACGCAGGCGGUCUGUCAAGUCGGAUGUGAAAUCCCCGGGCUCAACCUGGGAACUGCAUUCGAAACUGGCAGGCUAGAGUCUUGUAGAGGGGGGUAGAAUUCCAGGUGUAGCGGUGAAAUGCGUAGAGAUCUGGAGGAAUACCGGUGGCGAAGGCGGCCCCCUGGACAAAGACUGACGCUCAGGUGCGAAAGCGUGGGGAGCAAACAGGAUUAGAUACCCUGGUAGUCCACGCCGUAAACGAUGUCGAUUUGGAGGUUGUGCCCUUGAGGCGUGGCUUCCGGAGCUAACGCGUUAAAUCGACCGCCUGGGGAGUACGGCCGCAAGGUUAAACUCAAAUGAAUUGACGGGGGCCCGCACAAGCGGUGGAGCAUGUGGUUUAAUUCGAUGCACGCGAAAACCUUACCUGGUCUUGACUCACAAACUUUCAGAGAUGCUUUGGUGCUUCGGAACUGUGAACAGUGCUGCUGCUGCCUCACUCGGGUUGGAAUGUGGGUAAGCCCCACGAGGCACCCUUAUCUUUGUGCACCGGUCGGCGGAA